Molecule: ribosomal RNA, 512 nt
Filed under: uncultured Gammaproteobacteria bacterium
Lineage: Bacteria; Pseudomonadati; Pseudomonadota; Gammaproteobacteria
Description: bacterial SSU rRNA
Rfam family: Bacterial small subunit ribosomal RNA
Source: RNAcentral
GAGUUUGAUCAUGGCUCAGAUUGAACGCUGGCGGCAGGCCUAACACAUGCAAGUCGAGCGGCAGCAGCUCCUUCGGGAGGCUGGCGAGCGGCGGACGGGUGAGUAACGCAUGGGAACUUACCCAGUAGUGGGGGAUAGCCCGGGGAAACCCGGAUUAAUACCGCAUACGCCCUGAGGGGGAAAGCGGGCUUAGGCUCGCGCUAUUGGAUGGGCCCAUGUCGGAUUAGUUAGUUGGUGGGGUAAUGGCCUACCAAGGCGACGAUCCGUAGCUGGUCUGAGAGGAUGAUCAGCCACACCGGGACUGAGACACGGCCCGGACUCCUACGGGAGGCAGCAGUGGGGAAUAUUGGACAAUGGGGGCAACCCUGAUCCAGCCAUGCCGCGUGUGUGAAGAAGGCCUUAGGGUUGUAAAGCACUUUCAGCAGGGAGGAAAAGCUGAUCGUUAAUACCGGUCAGUGUUGACGUUACCUGCAGAAGAAGCACCGGCUAACUCCGUGCCAGCAGCCGCGGUA